GAUUAAGUAGGUAAGGGCGCAUGGUGGAUGCCUCGGCAUGGGCAGGCGAUGAAGGGCGUGGCAAGCUGCGAUAAGCCGCGGGGAGCCGCAAGCAGGCUGUGAUCCGCGGAUUCCCGAAUGGGGCAACCCGGCCGGUCGAAGACCGGUCAUCCACGGGCUGAAUCCAUAGGCCCGUGGAGGCGAACCCGGGGAACUGAAACAUCUCAGUACCCGGAGGAAAAGAAAGCAACCGCGAUUCCCUGAGUAGUGGCGAGCGAAAGGGGAACAGCCCAAACCGGCGUCGUUUCGGCGGCGCCGGGGUUGUAGGGCCCGCCAUAUGGGAUCGGAAGGUGAAGUCGAAGCGUGCUGGAAAGCCGCGCCAUAGAGGGUGAUAGCCCCGUAGGCGUAAGCCGACCGAUCUCGGCGGUGUCCCUGAGUACCACGGGACCGGUGGAAUCCUGUGGGAAGCUGCCAGCACCAUCUGGCAAGGCUAAAUACUCGCCCAUGACCGAUAGCGCACUAGUACCGUGAGGGAAAGGUGAAAAGAACGCCUAGUAGGCGAGUGAAAAGGACCUGAAACCAUGCGCCUACAACCAGUCGGAGCCUCUUGCCGGACCAAAGUCCGGCAAUGGGGUGACGGCGUGCCUUUUGCAGAAUGAGCCUACGAGUUGCUCCUCUCUGGCAGGCUAAGUGCCUCAGGCACGGAGCCGCAGCGAAAGCGAGUCCGAACAGGGCGCCAGAGUCAGAGGGGGCAGACGCGAAACCGGGUGAGCUACCCUUGGCCAGGUUGAAGCGUGGGUAAGACCACGUGGAGGACCGAACCGGUUGGCGUUGAAAAGCCAUCGGAUGAGCUGAGGGUAGGGGUGAAAGGCCAACCAAACCCGGAGAUAGCUCGUACUCCCCGAAAUGCAUAGAGGUGCAGCGUCGCAGCCGAGUGUGCGGGAGGUAGAGCACUGGUUGGGCUAGGGCCCUUCACCGGGUACCAAACCCAGUCAAACUCCGAAUGCCCGCACAUGCUCUGCGGCAGUGAGGGCAUGGGCGAUAAGGUCCAUGUCCGAGAGGGGGACAACCCAGACCGACAGCUAAGGCCCCCAAGUCCAGGCUAAGUUGGGCAAAGGAGGUCGGGCUGCUAAGACAACCAGGAGGUUGGCUUAGAAGCAGCCAUUCCUUUAAAGAGUGCGUAACAGCUCACUGGUCGAGCGGCCCGGCGCCGAAAAUUGUCGGGCAUCAAGCCUGGCGCCGAAGCUUCGGGUUUGCAGCCUUCGGGCUGCAAGCGGUAGGGGAGCAUUCCAGUUGCGCUGAAGUCGCCUCGUGAGGGGCGGUGGAGCGACUGGAAAAGAAAAUGUAGGCAUGAGUAACGAGAAGACGGGUGAAAAACCCGUCCGCCGUAAGCCCAAGGGUUCCUGCUCAACGCUAAUCGGAGCAGGGUUAGCCGGGUCCUAAGCCGAGGCCGAAAGGCGUAGGCGAUGGGAAACGGGUUAAUAUUCCCGUGCCACCCGAAGGCGCUAACCUGAGGCGUGACGCAGGAGCGUAAGGCCCGCGCCCUGACGGAAUAGGGCGUUGAAGCCCGUAGGCUGGGUGGUAGGCAAAUCCGCCACCCGCUAAGGCCGAAAGGCGACAGUAGGGGGACCCGCAAGGGAAACCCAUAGAGGCCCCAAGCACACUGCCAAGAAAAGCGUCGCAGGUUGUCUUCGGGUGCCCGUACCGGAAACCGACACAGGUGGGCGAGGCGAGUAUCCUCAGGCGCUCGAGUGAUCCGUGGCUAAGGAACUCGGCAAAUUGGCCCCGUAACUUCGGGAGAAGGGGCGCCUCCUCCCAUCCAAAAGCGGGAGGGGGCCGCAGUGACCAGGCCCAGGCGACUGUUUAACAAAAACACAGCUCUCUGCGAACUCGUAAGAGGACGUAUAGGGAGUGACACCUGCCCGGUGCCGGAAGGUUAAGGAAGGGGGUUAUCUCGGCCUCGUGCCGGGAGAAGCUCCCGACCGAAGCCCCGGUAAACGGCGGCCGUAACUAUAACGGUCCUAAGGUAGCGAAAUUCCUUGUCGGGUAAGUUCCGACCUGCACGAAUGGUGUAACGACCUGGGCACUGUCUCGGCCACGGGCUCGGUGAAAUUGUGGUGCCAGUGAAGACGCUGGCUACCCGCCGCGGGACGGAAAGACCCCGUGCACCUUUACUGCAGCCUGGCAUUGACGCCGGCCAGGGCGUGUGCAGGAUAGGCGGGAGGCUGUGAAGCCGGGGCGCCAGCUCCGGUGGAGCCGCCCUUGAGAUACCGCCCUCGCUCUGGCUGGCGCCUAACCCACGGCCGUUAUCCGGUCGGGGGACAGUGUCAGGUGGGUGGUUUGACUGGGGCGGUCGCCUCCUAAAGAGUAACGGAGGCUCCCAAAGGUCCCCUCAGCACGGUCGGUAAUCGUGCGUAGAGUGCAAGGGCAUAAGGGGGCUUGACUGCGAGACUCACAAGUCGAGCAGGGGCGAAAGCCGGGCCUAGUGAUCCGGCGGUUCCGAAUGGAAGGGCCGUCGCUCAAAGGAUAAAAGGUACGCCGGGGAUAACAGGCUGAUCGGGGCCAAGAGUUCACAUCGACGCCCCGGUUUGGCACCUCGAUGUCGGCUCAUCGCAUCCUGGGGCUGGAGAAGGUCCCAAGGGUUGGGCUGUUCGCCCAUUAAAGCGGUACGUGAGCUGGGUUCAGAACGUCGUGAGACAGUUCGGUCCCUAUCUGCGGCGGGCGCAGGAGGCUUGAGCGGAGCUGCCCCUAGUACGAGAGGACCGGGGUGGACGGACCUCUAGUGUACCAGUUGUGCCGCCAGGUGCACCGCUGGGUAGCUAUGUCCGGAAGGGAUAAGCGCUGAAAGCAUCUAAGCGCGAAGCCCACCGCAAGAUGAGGCCUCCCCUGCGGGCCGUCCGAGACCAGGACGUCGAUAGGCGGCAGGUGUAAGCGGGGUAACCCGUUGAGCCGAGCCGUACUAAUCGCCCGCGUGACUUAAUCCC
This is a ribosomal RNA of Rhodothermus marinus DSM 4252, 2963 nucleotides long. It matches the Rfam family "Bacterial large subunit ribosomal RNA". The record is from Rfam. Lineage: Bacteria; Pseudomonadati; Rhodothermota; Rhodothermia; Rhodothermales; Rhodothermaceae.